RNAcentral lists this long non-coding RNA (1345 nucleotides) under Cyanistes caeruleus (blue tit). Its description in RNAcentral is "lncRNA (ENSCCEG00000010730.1)". The record is from RNAcentral. Lineage: Eukaryota; Metazoa; Chordata; Aves; Passeriformes; Paridae.
GCAGAGGUGUAUUUUACAAAGCUGCCUGGGCCUGGCAUGAAGAUCAUGCCACUUUAAACAGCGAAUCUGUUAUUGUGAUGUUUGUGAGAGGAGAACAAGUGGGAAAGUCACUUUCAAGUGCAGCUCAGUGCUCUUUUAAUGAGGAAUGGGGUCUUCUUCAGAGUCAGCCAACUACUGAGGAGGAGCUGACACCCUUAGUAGUCAACAUCCUCAAAACAGCUGACAGCUCCAGAUAAAUCAGUUUGUGUACUUCCUCCCCUUCUCAUAUCACCUGCGGUGACAGGAAAGCACUAAUUUCCUUUGAGAGGGAGAGAGAGAUGGAUGCACGCGUGCAUCCUGGGCAUGUUGAUCCUUCAGUGUAAAAUUAACAAAAACAGAGGCCAGGGAGAGCUGGGAAUAGGCACAGCACUUUGUCAAGAGGAAGACUCUGCUGUGCACAACACUGCAUGCCCAGGGGCUCGGCACACAGGCUGUGACAUCGGCCCCCUGCACAAGCGGCACUUGGGCACCGCGCUUGGUCCUGCAGCUGGACACAGCCCAGCCCUGCACAUACAGCCACCUCGGAGGAGUUCUCCAACUCUUGCUACCCUUGGAGAGGACCAUGCCAGCAGCCAUCGGUGCUUAGCACCUCAUAAAGGCAAUCAGCAACUUGCAGAUUCAUUACAGCUCUGCAGGCUGGAAAUGGGCUGGAGCAGCACGGGCUGUUUUCUUCGGGAGGUGAAACAGCCCAGGUGAGUCAGGGACCGGAUCCAAAAUAACCCAGGUAGUCUUCAGAACAGCAUCAGAAUUGUAUUAAAAAAUACCGAGCAGACCUUUUCUAAGACAGAUGGCACACAAUGAGGUUAAAAAAAGUAUCUUGAGAUCCAACCAGCAAGAACAAAAAAAAAAAUUGCUUGCAUUGUUGUUUUCAUUAUCUUGCUUCUGUCAUUUCAUGAGCUUUGUAUCUUGCAAGGAAAGAAAGAAGGGAGAAAAACUGUGAAAUUAAUCUUUUGUGCAUGGCCUGAUAAAGAAGAGACAUGCUCAGACAAAAGAUAGACUGAGAGAAGGUACCGUGAUUGAUGACUAAAGUAAAGGUGUCAGAAGAGUAUUAUGUAAAUUACUGGAGGCACAGACCAUUUCAGAGAGAAUGAGAGGGAGAGGGGAAGCCAGGGAGAGAGAGAAAAAAAGGACUGCAGAGCCGAUGUCACCAAGACACUGGUCCCCAAGCGCCAAUUUCUUGCCAUCUUUCAUCUGCUCAGACAAGCUCACCUCACUUUCUAUUUGGUUUGCACAAUGUAACAAAGGAGGAAAAAACCUGUCAACAUUAGCAUGAAUACAGCCCAAAAGCGGGGUUCGAGCAGGCAGC